This 440-nucleotide ribosomal RNA is filed under the name uncultured bacterium. RNAcentral's name for it is "partial 16S ribosomal RNA". It matches the Rfam family "Bacterial small subunit ribosomal RNA", at positions 338 to 795 of the family's 1533-position model. The record is from RNAcentral.
CCUACGGGAGGCAGCAGUAGGGAAUAUUGCUCAAUGGGGGAAACCCUGAAGCAGCAACGCCGCGUGGAGGAUGAAGGUUUUCGGAUUGUACACUCCUUUUGUUAGAGAAGAUAAUGACGGUAUCUAACGAAUAAGCACCGGCUACCUCCGGGCCAGCAGCCGCGGUAAUACGGAGGGUGCAAGCGUUACUCGGAAUCACUGGGCGUAAGGAGCGCGUAGGCGGGAUAGCAAGUCAGAUGUGAAAUCCUAUGGCUUAACUAUAGAACUGCAUUUGAAACUGUUAUUCUAGAGUAUGGGAGAGGUAGGUGGAAUUCUUGGUGUAGGGGUAAAAUCCGUAGAGAUCAAGAGGAAUACUCAUUGCGAAGGCGACCUGCUAGAACAUAACUGACGCUGAUGCGCGAAAGCGUGGGGAGCAAACAGGAGUAGAUACCCCUGUAGUC